This 294-nucleotide ribosomal RNA is filed under the name uncultured bacterium. Its description in RNAcentral is "partial 16S ribosomal RNA". It matches the Rfam family "Bacterial small subunit ribosomal RNA", at positions 505 to 796 of the family's 1533-position model. The record is from RNAcentral.
GUGCCAGCAGCCGCGGUAAUACAGAGGGUGCGAGCGUUGUUCGGAAUUACUGGGCGUAAAGCGCGCGCAGGCGGUCCUUUAAGUCUACCCGUGAAAUGCCGGAGCUCAACUCCGUGCACGCCGGGGGAUACUGGAGGACUGGAGACGAGUAGAGGCAAGCGGAAUUCCGGGUGUAGCGGUGGAAUGCGUAGAGAUCCGGAAGAACACCGGAGGCGAAGGCGGCUUGCUGGGCUUGGUCUGACGCUGAGGCGCGAAAGCGUGGGGAGCGAACAGGAUUAGAAACCCCAGUAGUCC